Molecule: small nuclear RNA, 23 nt
Filed under: Arabidopsis thaliana (thale cress)
Lineage: Eukaryota; Viridiplantae; Streptophyta; Magnoliopsida; Brassicales; Brassicaceae
Description: snRNA_10744
Source: RNAcentral
CAGAUAUAAACUGCUGUACAGAU